UUAAGUUAUUAAGGGCGCACGGUGGAUGCCUUGGCACUAGAAGCCGAUGAAGGACGUUACUAACGACGAUAUGCUUUGGGGAGCUGUAAGUAAGCUUUGAUCCAGAGAUUUCCGAAUGGGGAAACCCAACAUGAGUUAUGUCAUGUUAUCGAUAUGUGAAUACAUAGCAUAUCAGAAGGCACACCCGGAGAACUGAAACAUCUUAGUACCCGGAGGAAGAGAAAGAAAAUUCGAUUCCCUUAGUAGCGGCGAGCGAAACGGGAAGAGCCCAAACCAACAAGCUUGCUUGUUGGGGUUGUAGGACACUCUAUACGGAGUUACAAAGGACGACAUUAGAUGAAUCAUCUGGAAAGAUGAAUCAAAGAAGGUAAUAAUCCUGUAGUCGAAAAUGUUGUCUCUCUUGAGUGGAUCCUGAGUACGACGGAGCACGUGAAAUUCCGUCGGAAUCUGGGAGGACCAUCUCCUAAGGCUAAAUACUCUCUAGUGACCGAUAGUGAACCAGUACCGUGAGGGAAAGGUGAAAAGCACCCCGGAAGGGGAGUGAAAUAGAACCUGAAACCGUGUGCUUACAAGUAGUCAGAGCCCGUUAAUGGGUGAUGGCGUGCCUUUUGUAGAAUGAACCGGCGAGUUACGAUUUGAUGCAAGGUUAAGCAGUAAAUGUGGAGCCGUAGCGAAAGCGAGUCUGAAUAGGGCGUUUAGUAUUUGGUCGUAGACCCGAAACCAGGUGAUCUACCCUUGGUCAGGUUGAAGUUCAGGUAACACUGAAUGGAGGACCGAACCGACUUACGUUGAAAAGUGAGCGGAUGAACUGAGGGUAGCGGAGAAAUUCCAAUCGAACCUGGAGAUAGCUGGUUCUCUCCGAAAUAGCUUUAGGGCUAGCCUCAAGUGAUGAUUAUUGGAGGUAGAGCACUGUUUGGACGAGGGGCCCCUCUCGGGUUACCGAAUUCAGACAAACUCCGAAUGCCAAUUAAUUUAACUUGGGAGUCAGAACAUGGGUGAUAAGGUCCGUGUUCGAAAGGGAAACAGCCCAGACCACCAGCUAAGGUCCCAAAAUAUAUGUUAAGUGGAAAAGGAUGUGGCGUUGCCCAGACAACUAGGAUGUUGGCUUAGAAGCAGCCAUCAUUUAAAGAGUGCGUAAUAGCUCACUAGUCGAGUGACACUGCGCCGAAAAUGUACCGGGGCUAAACAUAUUACCGAAGCUGUGGAUUGUCCUUUGGACAAUGGUAGGAGAGCGUUCUAAGGGCGUUGAAGCAUGAUCGUAAGGACAUGUGGAGCGCUUAGAAGUGAGAAUGCCGGUGUGAGUAGCGAAAGACGGGUGAGAAUCCCGUCCACCGAUUGACUAAGGUUUCCAGAGGAAGGCUCGUCCGCUCUGGGUUAGUCGGGUCCUAAGCUGAGGCCGACAGGCGUAGGCGAUGGAUAACAGGUUGAUAUUCCUGUACCACCUAUAAUCGUUUUAAUCGAUGGGGGGGACGCAGUAGGAUAGGCGAAGCGUGCGAUUGGAUUGCACGUCUAAGCAGUAAGGCUGAGUAUUAGGCAAAUCCGGUACUCGUUAAGGCUGAGCUGUGAUGGGGAGAAGACAUUGUGUCUUCGAGUCGUUGAUUUCACACUGCCGAGAAAAGCCUCUAGAUAGAAAAUAGGUGCCCGUACCGCAAACCGACACAGGUAGUCAAGAUGAGAAUUCUAAGGUGAGCGAGCGAACUCUCGUUAAGGAACUCGGCAAAAUGACCCCGUAACUUCGGGAGAAGGGGUGCUCUUUAGGGUUAACGCCCAGAAGAGCCGCAGUGAAUAGGCCCAAGCGACUGUUUAUCAAAAACACAGGUCUCUGCUAAACCGUAAGGUGAUGUAUAGGGGCUGACGCCUGCCCGGUGCUGGAAGGUUAAGAGGAGUGGUUAGCUUCUGCGAAGCUACGAAUCGAAGCCCCAGUAAACGGCGGCCGUAACUAUAACGGUCCUAAGGUAGCGAAAUUCCUUGUCGGGUAAGUUCCGACCCGCACGAAAGGCGUAACGAUUUGGGCACUGUCUCAACGAGAGACUCGGUGAAAUCAUAGUACCUGUGAAGAUGCAGGUUACCCGCGACAGGACGGAAAGACCCCGUGGAGCUUUACUGUAGCCUGAUAUUGAAAUUCGGCACAGCUUGUACAGGAUAGGUAGGAGCCUUUGAAACGUGAGCGCUAGCUUACGUGGAGGCGCUGGUGGGAUACUACCCUAGCUGUGUUGGCUUUCUAACCCGCACCACUUAUCGUGGUGGGAGACAGUGUCAGGCGGGCAGUUUGACUGGGGCGGUCGCCUCCUAAAAGGUAACGGAGGCGCUCAAAGGUUCCCUCAGAAUGGUUGGAAAUCAUUCAUAGAGUGUAAAGGCAUAAGGGAGCUUGACUGCGAGACCUACAAGUCGAGCAGGGUCGAAAGACGGACUUAGUGAUCCGGUGGUUCCGCAUGGAAGGGCCAUCGCUCAACGGAUAAAAGCUACCCCGGGGAUAACAGGCUUAUCUCCCCCAAGAGUUCACAUCGACGGGGAGGUUUGGCACCUCGAUGUCGGCUCAUCGCAUCCUGGGGCUGUAGUCGGUCCCAAGGGUUGGGCUGUUCGCCCAUUAAAGCGGUACGCGAGCUGGGUUCAGAACGUCGUGAGACAGUUCGGUCCCUAUCCGUCGUGGGCGUAGGAAAUUUGAGAGGAGCUGUCCUUAGUACGAGAGGACCGGGAUGGACAUACCUCUGGUGUACCAGUUGUCGUGCCAACGGCAUAGCUGGGUAGCUAUGUGUGGACGGGAUAAGUGCUGAAAGCAUCUAAGCAUGAAGCCCCCCUCAAGAUGAGAUUUCCCAACUUCGGUUAUAAGAUCCCUCAAAGAUGAUGAGGUUAAUAGGUUCGAGGUGGAAGCAUGGUGACAUGUGGAGCUGACGAAUACUAAUCGAUCGAAGACUUAAUCAA
This 2922-nucleotide ribosomal RNA is filed under the name Staphylococcus aureus. RNAcentral's name for it is "23S ribosomal RNA". It matches the Rfam family "Bacterial large subunit ribosomal RNA". The record is from RNAcentral. Lineage: Bacteria; Bacillati; Bacillota; Bacilli; Caryophanales; Staphylococcaceae.